This 488-nucleotide ribosomal RNA is filed under the name uncultured bacterium. RNAcentral's name for it is "bacterial SSU rRNA". It matches the Rfam family "Bacterial small subunit ribosomal RNA", at positions 28 to 507 of the family's 1533-position model. The record is from RNAcentral.
GAUGAACGCUAGCUACAGGCUUAACACAUGCAAGUCGAGGGCAGCAUGAACUUAGCUUGCUAAGUUUGAUGGCGACCGGCGCACGGGUGAGUAACACGUAUCCAACCUGCCGAUGACUCGGGGAUAGCCUUUCGAAAGAAAGAUUAAUACCCGAUGGCAUAGUUCUUCCGCAUGGUAGAACUAUUAAAGAACUUCGGUCAUCGAUGGGGAUGCGUCCCAUUAGCUUGUUGGCGGGGUAACGGCCCACCAAGGCGACGAUGGGUAGGGGUUCUGAGAGGAAGGUCCCCCACAUUGGAACUGAGACACGGUCCAAACUCCUACGGGAGGCAGCAGUGAGGAAUAUUGGUCAAUGGGCGCGAGCCUGAACCAGCCAAGUAGCGUGGAGGACGACGGCCCUACGGGUUGUAAACUCCUUUUAUAAGGGGAUAAAGUUGGCCAUGUAUGGCCAUUUGCAGGUACCUUAUGAAUAAGCAUCGGCUAAUUCCGUG